AACGAACGCUGGCGGCAUGCCUAACACAUGCAAGUCGAACGAGACCUUCGGGUCUAGUGGCGCACGGGUGCGUAACGCGUGGGAAUCUGCCCUUGGGUUCGGAAUAACAGUUGGAAACGACUGCUAAUACCGGAUGAUGACGUAAGUCCAAAGAUUUAUCGCCCAGGGAUGAGCCCGCGUAGGAUUAGCUAGUUGGUGGGGUAAAGGCUUACCAAGGCGACGAUCCUUAGCUGGUCUGAGGGGAUGAUCAGCCACACUGGGACUGAGACACGGCCCAGACUCCUACGGGAGGCAGCAGUGGGGAAUAUUGGACAAUGGGCGAAAGCCUGAUCCAGCAAUGCCGCGUGAGUGAUGAAGGCCUUAGAGUUGUAAAACUCUUUUACCCGGGAUGAUAAUGACAGUACCGGGAGAAUAAGCCCCGGCUAACUCCGUG
RNAcentral lists this ribosomal RNA (433 nucleotides) under uncultured bacterium. RNAcentral describes it as "partial 16S ribosomal RNA". It matches the Rfam family "Bacterial small subunit ribosomal RNA", at positions 29 to 507 of the family's 1533-position model. The record is from RNAcentral.